This 481-nucleotide ribosomal RNA is filed under the name uncultured bacterium. RNAcentral's name for it is "partial 16S ribosomal RNA". It matches the Rfam family "Bacterial small subunit ribosomal RNA", at positions 28 to 523 of the family's 1533-position model. The record is from RNAcentral.
GACGAACGCUGGCGGCGUGCUUAACACAUGCAAGUCGAGCGGAAAGGCCACUUCGGUGGUACUCGAGCGGCGAACGGGUGAGUAACACGUGAGUAAUCUGCCCCUGGCUUUGGGAUAGCCACCGGAAACGGUGAUUAAUACCGGAUACGACCACUUCUCGCAUGGGAUGGUGGUGGAAAGUUUUUUCGGCCAGGGAUGUGCUCGCGGCCUAUCAGCUUGAUGGUGAGGUAAUGGCUCACCAUGGCGUCGACGGGUAGCCGGCCUGAGAGGGUGACCGGUCACCCUGGGACUGAGACACUGCCCAGACGCCUACGGGUGGCAGCAGUGGGGAAUAUUGGACAAUGGGCGGAAGCCUGAUCCAGCAACGCCGCGUGAGGGAUGACGUCCUUCGGGUUGUAAACCUCUUUCAGCAGGGACGAAGCGCAAGUGACGGUACCUGCAGAAGAAGCACCGGCCAACUACGUGCCAGCCGCCGCAGUAA